RNAcentral lists this long non-coding RNA (778 nucleotides) under Androctonus crassicauda. Lineage: Eukaryota; Metazoa; Arthropoda; Arachnida; Scorpiones; Buthidae. The record is from RNAcentral.
GGCGUGGUCUGGCGGGUGCUUUUGGGCUUUGGUGAGGUCCUCACUCUUCGCGUGGAGCUUGCCCAUGUGCUUUUGGAGUGCAGUGAGUGUGGCGUCUGGCCUUGGAGUUCUCUUUGGAUUUCUGCAAUGGGUGUUUCUAUGCUUGCAGCACUUGGACUGCUGAAAUAGAAUACAUCGAUAAUCUGGGAUGCCAACAUGGAUAUGGUAACACCUUCCUAUACUGCAUUCAUGACUCUGUGAAAAGAAGAUUGGACAUCCAACAUGCAGAUGAAGAUCCAGCACCAGUAAGAUCAACCUAUAUGCCAGUCCCAUAUCCAUUUAACAGCAUGUCCUUUAUGAAGAAAAUAGCUAAGAAAGUGGACAAGAGAAUAGCUGUUACUAGGGCUUCCACAGUUUACAAUAAGCUUAGGAAUGAAAAGGAUCCUAUAGAUGAACAAGAAAAAAUGGGGGCCUAUAGAAUUCCUGUAAUCAACCAUGAAAUUAGCAAACAAGCAGCUUAUUGGGAUCACCAACAGGAUCCUAGCCCAGCAUAUAAAGGAGCAUAAAAAUGAUGUUAAUCUGGCUUUUUUUAACAUCAUUUUUAUACCUAUACUAUUGAUCUGAGUGUACAUUGGGAUCAAGUGAAGGUCAUAAAACCAGUGAAUAAUAAACUUUCAGGCCCUUAACACAGGAAAUAUUGAAGAGGCACAACAUGGAGCUCCUCCUCAAUGACCACCAAGUAUCCCAAGUGCUGCAAGUAUGGAGGUGCCUAUUGCAGAGGUCUGGGGAUGCUGUAGGG